GUGGGGAAUUUUGGACAAUGGGCGAAAGCCUGAUCCAGCAAUGCCGCGUGUGUGAAGAAGGCCUUCGGGUUGUAAAGCACUUUUGGCAGGGAAGAAACAGUGCGUGCUAAUACCAUGCGCGAAUGACGGUACCUGCAGAAUAAGCACCGGCUAACUACGUGCCAGCAGCCGCGGUAAUACGUAGGGUGCAAGCGUUAAUCGGACUUACUGGGCGUAAAGCGUGCGCAGGCGGCUUUGUAAGACGGAUGUGAAAGCCCCGGGCUCAACCUGGGAAGUGCAUUCGUGACUGCAAGGCUAGAGUGUGUCAGAGGGAGGUGGAAUUCCGCGUGUAGCAGUGAAAUGCGUAGAGAUGCGGAGGAACACCGAUGGCGAAGGCAGCCUCCUGGGAUAACACUGACGCUCAGGCACGAAAGCGUGGGGAGCAAACAGGAUUAGAUACCCGGGUAGUCC
RNAcentral lists this ribosomal RNA (450 nucleotides) under uncultured bacterium. RNAcentral describes it as "bacterial SSU rRNA". It matches the Rfam family "Bacterial small subunit ribosomal RNA", at positions 354 to 796 of the family's 1533-position model. The record is from RNAcentral.